UCCUUCCUUUUCUUUCUUUUUUUUCCCCUUUUCUUCUUCUUUCCUUCCUUCUUUUUUUUCUCUCUUUCUAUUUUGUUCUUUUUUUCUAUUUCUUGUUUCUUUCCCUGCGUGGAAGAGUUCCAGAGUUCCAAACCCAUCCUGGUUCUUUGUCUUACAAGAAUGAAACAGGACAGCCAGGGUGCUUGGAGCAGCUUCCCAUCCCCUUCUUGCACUCGGAGCACCUCCACAUAACGCGCGGCGUCACUGGAAAUGGAGGAAGCGAAGUGCUUCCCCCAGCAUUUAUUUGAGAAUGAAGAAUUUACAUCGAGACAGAGCUAACAAAGAGCUCUGGAGAGAGAAGGAAAAGACAAAGCAAAAGGAUAGAAAAGAAUAACAAUCAGUUACAAUGAACACUUGUUGGGAACUACUUCACUGAGACCCCAGAUGCAAGCCGGGAGGAUCAGGUAGGCUGAUUUGGCAACGGAGGGCGAAGAAGAUUGAGUGUCAUGGUGGCUAUCAUUUGCGUUUGCGAAGGAUGAGUGGAAGAUGAUGUUUAUCAGCUUUUCCCAUAAAAAGAGACUAAUGUACAAGUGACCAACCUAUUGUAUUGCCAGCUAUGGAGAAUGGAAAUAGAUACGAAAUAAUAACAUGACAAACAUGGCCAUGCCAA
Molecule: non-coding RNA, 649 nt
Organism: Phoenix dactylifera (date palm)
Lineage: Eukaryota; Viridiplantae; Streptophyta; Magnoliopsida; Arecales; Arecaceae
Source: RefSeq, a predicted model, not a curated record